AUUGAACGCUGGCGGCAGGCCUAACACAUGCAAGUCGAACGGUAACAGGAAGAAGCUUGCUUCUUUGCUGUCGCGUGGCGGACGGGAGAGUAAUGUUUGGGAAACUUCCUGAUGGAGGGGGAUAACUACUGGAAACGGUAGCUAAUACCGCAUACCGUCGCAAGACCAAAAAGGGGGACCUUCUGGCCUCUUGCCGUCGGAUGUGCCCAGCUGGGAUUAGCUAGGAGGGGGGGUAACGGCUCACCUCGGCGACGAUCCCUAGCUGGUCUGAGAGGAUGGCCAGCCACACUGGAAGUGAGACAGGGUCCAGAGUCCUACGGGAGGCAGCAGUGGGGAAUAUUGCGCAAUGGGGGCGAGCCUGAUGCAGCCAUGCGGCGUGUAUGAAGAAGGCGUUCGGGUUGUAAAGUCCUUUCAGCGGUGGGGAAGGGAGUAAAGUUAAUACCGUGGCUCAUUGACGUUACCCGCAGAAGAAGCACCGGCUAACUCCGUG
Molecule: ribosomal RNA, 490 nt
Filed under: uncultured bacterium
Lineage: Bacteria
Description: partial 16S ribosomal RNA
Rfam family: Bacterial small subunit ribosomal RNA
Source: RNAcentral